This is a non-coding RNA of Biomphalaria pfeifferi, 687 nucleotides long. NCBI's taxonomy places the organism in Eukaryota, Metazoa, Mollusca, Gastropoda, Planorbidae. The record is from the annotation of a GenBank genome assembly.
GUUAAAAUAAUAACAACAACAACAACAAAUAGCAAAAAAUAAUAAUAAUAUUAAUAAAAAAUAAAAAUAAUAAAAUUUAAAAAAAAAUUAAUUAAUUAAAAAACCAAGAGUAACAACUCAUGGAAUUUUCCAGUCCGUGAGCUAAGAUUUUCAUCCGAUCACUCAGAAUUCAUAGGCAUAAAUAUUUAACAUUGUAUUGUAGAGAUCCAGUAGAUCAAAAACUAUUUCAACCAUUGUAGGCCUACAGUUAUAAAUAUUUAUCUAUAUACUUCUUGAAUUAAAAGCUAAACAUGCCAUUGUACACUGUAGCCUAUUAAUAUACCAACGCAUCAAAAUCAAACACAAUCGAUAGACAAAAUAUACACACAGUAAAUGUGAACAUUCAAAUCCUCUAAGUGUAUACUACAAUGUCAUAAACAAUGCGAGAUAAUGUCAUUUCAAACGUGAAAGACAAACAUACGCUCAGAAAUAGACACAUGUGAUACAAACGAAGUUUAAAUUCUCUCAGUAUGCCUACACAAGUGUAACAGUACACACAUCAACCGACAAGAAAGUAGAUCUUCAUUGAACGGACCCACUGUUCGUGGGGGAGGGGGGGGGGGCGAUGGCUGAGUGGUUACGCGCUCGGCUUCUGAGCCUGGGGUCCUGGGUUAGAAUCUCGGUGAAGACUGGGAUUUUGAAUUUCGG